This 25-nucleotide small RNA is filed under the name Bombyx mori (domestic silkworm). Its description in RNAcentral is "ovarian small RNA-35237". The record is from RNAcentral. Lineage: Eukaryota; Metazoa; Arthropoda; Insecta; Lepidoptera; Bombycidae.
UGGUUUACCGGGUUUAUGUAUGCCG